This 445-nucleotide ribosomal RNA is filed under the name uncultured bacterium. RNAcentral describes it as "partial 16S ribosomal RNA". It matches the Rfam family "Bacterial small subunit ribosomal RNA", at positions 354 to 796 of the family's 1533-position model. The record is from RNAcentral.
GUGAGGAAUAUUGGACAAUGGGCGCAAGCCUGAUCCAGCCAUGCCGCGUGCAGGAAGACGCAUCUAUGGUGUGUAAACUGCUUUUGUACGGGAAGAAACACUCCCUCGUGAGGGAGCUUGACGGUACCGUAAGAAUAAGGAUCGGCUAACUCCGUGCCAGCAGCCGCGGUAAUACGGAGGAUCCAAGCGUUAUCCGGAAUCAUUGGGUUUAAAGGGUACGUAGGCGGUUUAAUAAGUCAGUGGUGAAAGCCCAUCGCUCAACGAUGGAACGGCCAUUGAUACUGUUAGACUUGAAUUACAAGGAAGUAACUAGAAUAUGUAGUGUAGCGGUGAAAUGCUUAGAUAUUACAUGGAAUACCAAUUGCGAAGGCAGGUUACUACUUGUGGAUUGACGCUGAUAGACGAAAGCGUGGGGAGCGAACAGGAUUAGAAACCCGGGUAGUCC